This 433-nucleotide ribosomal RNA is filed under the name uncultured bacterium. Its description in RNAcentral is "partial 16S ribosomal RNA". It matches the Rfam family "Bacterial small subunit ribosomal RNA", at positions 29 to 507 of the family's 1533-position model. The record is from RNAcentral.
AACGAACGCUGGCGGCAUGCCUAACACAUGCAAGUCGAACGAGACCUUCGGGUCUAGUGGCGCACGGGUUCGUCACGCGUGGGAACCUGCCCUUAGGUUCGGAAUAACUCCCCGAAAGGGGUGCUAAUACCGGAUAAUGUCUUCGGACCAAAGAUUUAUCGCCUUUGGAUGGGCCCGCGUUGGAUUAGCUGGUUGGUAGGGUAAAAGCCUACCAAGGCGACGAUGCAUAGCUGGUCUGAGAGGAUGAUCAGCCACACUGGGACUGAGACACGGCCCAGACUCCUACGGGAGGCAGCAGUGGGGAAUAUUGGACAAUGGGCGAAAGCCUGAACCAGCAAUGCCGCGUGAGUGAUGAAGGCCUUAGGGUUGUAAAGCUCUUUUACCCGGGAUGAUAAUGACAGUACCGGGAGAAUAAGCUCCGGCUAACUCCGUG